Molecule: long non-coding RNA, 270 nt
Filed under: Paramuricea clavata
Lineage: Eukaryota; Metazoa; Cnidaria; Anthozoa; Malacalcyonacea; Plexauridae
Source: RNAcentral
GGUUUCUUUGUCAUAUAGUUCAAUUGCUGUUGCUUGUAAAUGUUUUAUAAACCAGUACAGCGAAGUAGCGAAAUUUCGGGCCGUCUUUCACAAUAAAUAACAUCACAAUAACUGCAGAUCUUUUUCUCUUUAAUACAGAAUCAUUUUCCCCGUCCAUUGAGUUAUAAUUUCCAAAACGAACCAGUCGCUAUAACGUAAAAUAAGCGGGUAUUUGUGAACAAAAAUGCCCUUUGAUAUAACACGAGGUAACCAGCGCCAUCUUGUCUUCUC